AGCGAACGCUGGCGGCAGGCUUAACACAUGCAAGUCGAGCGGGCGUAGCAAUACGUCAGCGGCAGACGGGUGAGUAACACGUGGGAACGUACCUUUUGGUUCGGAACAACACAGGGAAACUUGUGCUAAUACCGAAUAAGCCCUUACGGGGAAAGAUUUAUCGCCGAAAGAUCGGCCCGCGUCUGAUUAGCUUGUUGGUGAGGUAACGGCUCACCAAGGCGACGAUCAGUAGCUGGUCNGAGAGGAUGAUCAG
Molecule: ribosomal RNA, 253 nt
Filed under: uncultured bacterium
Lineage: Bacteria
Description: partial 16S ribosomal RNA
Rfam family: Bacterial small subunit ribosomal RNA
Source: RNAcentral